Cinara cedri is the source of this 330-nucleotide non-coding RNA. Lineage: Eukaryota; Metazoa; Arthropoda; Insecta; Hemiptera; Aphididae. The record is from the annotation of a GenBank genome assembly.
AAUAAAGAGUCGCCUGCAAUUAUAUUGCGACAUUGGAGUUGGACCAAUAUCUUGUGUCCUAUGCGUACAUCAGUUAUCGUGUGGGUUUAUUAUUUUUUUUUUUUUGUCCUCCGCGUACGAUUUUUCUACCGGAAAUCUUACUGUCCCGAUCAAAAAAACGACAAGAAAACGUUUUGUUGUUUAUAUUACCUGUCUGUAUAUCCUGCGGUGUCCUGCAUCGGUAAUGGUAUGUGACAGAGAAAUUUUUCGAUUUCCCGAGCAGUUUUCAUAAUAAUUGUGAAAGAAACGCGCACGAAUACGAGAAAAUACGGAACUAUAAACGGUUUCAUU